Molecule: ribosomal RNA, 368 nt
Filed under: Pila virens
Lineage: Eukaryota; Metazoa; Mollusca; Gastropoda; Architaenioglossa; Ampullariidae
Description: SSU rRNA
Rfam family: Eukaryotic small subunit ribosomal RNA
Source: RNAcentral
GAUUAAGCCAUGCAUGUCUCAGUUCACACCCUCGCACGGUGAAACCGCGAAUGGCUCAUUAAAUCAGUCGAGGUUCCUUAGAUGAUCCAAGUCUACUUGGAUAACUGUGGCAAUUCUAGAGCUAAUACAUGCGGACCAGCUCCGCCCCGGUGUCGCAGCCGGGAAAGAGCGCUUUUAUUAGUACAAAACCAGUCGGCCGGUCCGCCCUUCGCGGGGUGGCCGGUCGUCCCCUAUUGGUGACUCUGGAUAACUUGGUGCCGAUCGCAUGGCCUCGAGCCGGCGACGCAUCUUUCAAAUGUCUGCCCUAUCAAAUGUCGAUGGUACGUGACAGGCCUACCAUGUUGUCUACGGGUGACGGGGAAUCGGGG